This 458-nucleotide ribosomal RNA is filed under the name uncultured bacterium. RNAcentral's name for it is "bacterial SSU rRNA". It matches the Rfam family "Bacterial small subunit ribosomal RNA", at positions 339 to 794 of the family's 1533-position model. The record is from RNAcentral.
AUACGGGAGGCAGCAGUGAGGAAUAUUGGUCAAUGGGCGCAAGCCUGAACCAGCCAUCCCGCGUGAAGGAAGAAGGCGCUAUGCGUCGUAAACUUCUUUUGCAGGUCAAGAAUGUUAUCUACGAGUAGGUAAUUGACGGUAACCUGUGAAUAAGCAUCGGCUAACUCCGUGCCAGCAGCCGCGGUAAUACGGAGGAUGCGAGCGUUAUCCGGAUUUAUUGGGUUUAAAGGGUGCGUAGGCGGAAUAAUAAGUCAGUGGUGAAAUCCUACAGCUUAACUGUAGCAUUGCCGUUGAUACUGUUAAUCUUGAGUAUGGUUAAGGUAGGCGGAAUGUGUAAUGUAGCGGUGAAAUGCUUAGAUAUUACACAGAACACCGAUUGCGAAGGCAGCUUACUGAACCAUAACUGACGCUGAGGCACGAAAGCGUGGGGAGCGAACAGGAUUAGAUACCCCGGUAGA